This 275-nucleotide ribosomal RNA is filed under the name uncultured bacterium. RNAcentral's name for it is "partial 16S ribosomal RNA". It matches the Rfam family "Bacterial small subunit ribosomal RNA", at positions 338 to 630 of the family's 1533-position model. The record is from RNAcentral.
CCUACGGGGGGCUGCAGUGGGGAAUAUUGGGCAAUGGAGGAAACUCUGACCCAGCCAUGCCGCGUGAGUGAUGAAGGCCUUAGGGUUGUAAAGCUCUUUUGUCAGGGAAGAUAAUGACGGUACCUGAAGAAUAAGCACCGGCUAACUUCGUGCCAGCAGCCGCGGUAAUACGAAGGGUGCUAGCGUUGUUCGGAAUUACUGGGCGUAAAGCGCGCGUAGGCUGCGUCGCAAGUCAGUGGUGAAAUCCCGGGGCUUAACCUCGGAACUGCCAUUGA